CCGUUGCCGGCGACCGGCGCACGGGUGAGUAACACGUAUGCAACCUGCCCGUGGCAGGGGGGAUAAGCGGGGGAAACCCCGGUCUAAUACCGCGUAACGCGGCCUAGGGACAUCCCAAGGCCGCCAAAGGGAGCAAUCCCGGCCACGGAUGGGCAUGCGGCGCAUUAGCUAGUCGGCGGGGUAACGGCCCACCGAGGCGACGAUGCGUAGGGGUUCUGAGAGGAAGGCCCCCCACACUGGUACUGAGACACGGACCAGACUCCUACGGAAGGCAGCAG
RNAcentral lists this ribosomal RNA (278 nucleotides) under uncultured bacterium. RNAcentral's name for it is "partial 16S ribosomal RNA". It matches the Rfam family "Bacterial small subunit ribosomal RNA", at positions 82 to 354 of the family's 1533-position model. The record is from RNAcentral.